Molecule: non-coding RNA, 98 nt
Organism: Amylocarpus encephaloides
Lineage: Eukaryota; Fungi; Ascomycota; Leotiomycetes; Helotiales
Source: the annotation of a GenBank genome assembly
GCGCUAGUGGUUUAAUGGUAAAAUCGAUCCUUGCCAUAGAAUGAUUCAUAUAGGUCUACAGCUUGGAUUGGCUCCGUGUUCGAUUCACGGCUAGCGCA